UUAGCUAGCCGCUGGAUUUAACUUUUAGAUUAAAAAAAAAAACAAAAGCCCAUUACAAAUGUAAGUUUUGCCAAAUGGUAUUUACGCUAAGUAACCUUUCAAUGCUACAAUUUAUCAAACGGUAUAACAUUUCAUUCGAUAAACACUUUUACCUCAAAAGUAUUUGCAUUCUCCCAAUGGCAUUUCCCCAAACUCGAAUCAAAUGGGCCAUAAAUUGAUUUUAAAUCUAAUUCUCUAACAUAUGAUGCGAUCAUGCAUGUGCGCAAACCACCAAUUUAACACCUAAGUAAAGUAGUAAAUAAAUUGUAGGAUUUAUCUCAUAACAACGAAAGUAUUUGCAAUGUUAAAUUAGAAUCUACAUCAACAACCCUAGAUAUAAUUUCUAAUUAAUACGCAACUUUUUUUGUUUUCACUUAAUUAAUGAAAAUCAUACAAUAUGGUGACGUCUUAAGUGGGUUGCCGGGGGUGAUGGGUCCUCCCGCUUACGCAGCCCCCCAGGUUUACCCCUCCGGCUGCCGGCCGUGCAGGGGUUCCUUGGUAAAAAAAAAAAAUGAAAAUCAUACAAUAUGCAUUGUCAUAUUAACUAAAUGACCUAAUUCUAAUGACAUGCAAUUUCUAAUUGAACGCACCUACCAACAAUCACUAAAUGACAUGCAUUUCAUGAAUCUAAUCCUAAUGACAUGCACAUGACAUUUUUCUUUUUUCUAAAAAAUGCAAUAUAUCCUAAUAUGCAAUGACGUGUAAAGAAUACCAUAAUUCUAUUUUUUUUCUUUUUCUUUUAUGAAAUUCGAAAUUAAUAAUUGUGAAACAUUUAAACAUGCAAUCCAAGUUAAAAAAACUAGCAACCUAAAUUGAUUGAUUUUAUUUUAUUUUUUUUACAUUCGAAAUAAAAUUCCUAUUCUAAAUAUGCAAACCCUAAAACAAGAAAUAAACCUAAUUUUAAUCUACAUUUUUUUUGACUUUUUCAAGAAAAUUAACUUAAGCGACACGACGGCAAAUCAAGCAAUAUUGAUAUCCAAAUUGACGAACCAUAUCUCGUGCAUGAGAUUAGAUUGGUCAAUUUUACAUAAAUCGCGAAUCGAAUAUCAAGCGGAAGAUCAGAUUUAGCGAUUUUUUCAAGUAAUUGCGAGUAAAAUUUCGGGCACGAAAAUCGGACUGACAAUUGCAAAAUUCACAGGCGAUUUCAUAUAAGGCAAUCUCAAUUUUACAUUAAGGGAUAUUACACUAAAAGAACAAAUAAAAUAAAAUAACAAAAAUAAUAAAAAUGGAAUAAGAUGAGUAAAUAAAUAAAUAAAAUUACCUAAAUUGUUUCUUUUUUGUUUUGCUUUUCGGCAGCUGGCCGGUUCGGAGCUCCGGCAAGGAGAGUCGCCGGCGAAGGUCUCCGGCGAGGCAGGGCAGUGCGCGGCGAGGAGGUCCGGCGGUGAGGCAGCGCACGGCGGUGGCUGGUGAAGCUGCGAGGAGCGCUGCAGGCGUCGGUGAGUUUCGGCUACGGGGCUGGGCACGAGCACGGCGUCCGGAUCUCGGCUCGGCAGCAGCGGCGAAUUCGCGGGCGGAGCAGAGGCGGCGAGUCGGGUCUGCUGGGCGUCGGAACAGAUCUGCUGGGCGUCGGGGCAGAGGAGGGUCGCGGCGGCGUUCCGGAUCUGGGCCUGCUGUCGUCGGUGCAGAGGAGGGUCACGGCGGCGUUUCGGAUCUCGGGCGGAAGGCACGGCGAAGGGCUUCAAGGGCUGCAAGGCCGACGGCGGAGGCGGCGUCGGGGCGGUGCGAGCCUCGGGCGUCGGGUCGCGGGUCGCUGGCAGGGCGGCGGAGAACGGCAAGGCGGGGCGCGGCGGUCGCUGGCGGAGGCGGCUUUAGCACAGCGGCCGACGCGGGGGGUCGGGCUGCCGCGGUCGGAGCCCUCCGCGAAGAAGACGAUGGGGCUCCCCUUUUUUUAUUUUCUUUUCUCUCUCUCUCUCUCUCUGACUUUUUUUUUU
This 1970-nucleotide long non-coding RNA is filed under the name Eucalyptus grandis. RNAcentral's name for it is "long non-coding RNA (EGRA_LNC003428)". Lineage: Eukaryota; Viridiplantae; Streptophyta; Magnoliopsida; Myrtales; Myrtaceae. The record is from RNAcentral.